RNAcentral lists this RNase P RNA (330 nucleotides) under Hoeflea phototrophica DFL-43. Its description in RNAcentral is "Bacterial RNase P class A". It matches the Rfam family "Bacterial RNase P class A", at positions 12 to 281 of the family's 367-position model. Rfam says of the family: Ribonuclease P (RNase P) is a ubiquitous endoribonuclease, found in archaea, bacteria and eukarya as well as chloroplasts and mitochondria. The record is from RNAcentral. Lineage: Bacteria; Pseudomonadati; Pseudomonadota; Alphaproteobacteria; Hyphomicrobiales; Rhizobiaceae.
GGCAGCCGCACUUUGCAACGUCGAAAGACAGCAGGGUGAGGAAAGUCCGGGCUCCACGGAUAAGCGGUGCCGGAUAACGUCCGGCGGGGGCGACCCCAGGGAAAGUGCCACAGAAAGCAAACCGCCCCGCCACCUGAUCGCCGGAUCCGAUUCCAGGAUCGAGCGGCAAUGAGGCGGCGGGGUAAGGGUGAAAGGGUGGGGUAAGAGCCCACCGCGCGACCGGCAACGGAAGCGGCACGGUAAACCCCACCGGGAGCAAAACCGAAUAGGGAUGACGCAGGGCGAAAGCCCGGCCCUUUUUCCGGGGUUGAUCAUCCGGGUAGGUUGCUU